UACAGAGGGUGCAAGCGUUGUUCGGAAUUACUGGGCGUAAAGAGUGUGUAGGCGGUGCUCUAAGUUCGGUGUGAAAUCUCCCGGCUCAACUGGGAGGGUGCGCCGGAAACUGGAAUGCUUGAGCGUGGGAGAGGAAAGCGGAAUUCCUGGUGUAGCGGUGAAAUGCGUAGAUAUCAGGAGGAACACCUGCGGUGUAGACGGCUUUCUGGACCAUUGCUGACGCUGAGACACGAAAGCGUGGGUAGCAAACAGG
This 253-nucleotide ribosomal RNA is filed under the name uncultured bacterium. RNAcentral describes it as "partial 16S ribosomal RNA". It matches the Rfam family "Bacterial small subunit ribosomal RNA", at positions 524 to 776 of the family's 1533-position model. The record is from RNAcentral.